Molecule: ribosomal RNA, 429 nt
Filed under: Chloroflexota bacterium
Lineage: Bacteria; Bacillati; Chloroflexota
Description: Chloroflexi bacterium partial 16S ribosomal RNA
Rfam family: Bacterial small subunit ribosomal RNA
Source: RNAcentral
UGGGGAAUAUUGCACAAUGGGCGCAAGCCUGAUGCAGCCAUGCCGCGUGUAUGAAGAAGGCCUUCGGGUUGUAAAGUACUUUCAGUCGGGAGGAAGGUGGUAAGGUUAAUAACCUUGGCAAUUGACGUUACCGACAGAAGAAGCACCGGCUAACUCCGUGCCAGCAGCCGCGGUAAUACGGAGGGUGCAAGCGUUAAUCGGAAUUACUGGGCGUAAAGCGCACGCAGGCGGUUGAUUGAGUCAGAUGUGAAAUCCCCGGGCUUAACCCGGGAAUUGCAUCUGAUACUGGUCAGCUAGAGUCUUGUAGAGGGAGGUAGAAUUCCAUGUGUAGCGGUGAAAUGCGUAGAGAUGUGGAGGAAUACCGGUGGCGAAGGCGGCCCCCUGGACAAAGACUGACGCUCAGGUGCGAAAGCGUGGGGAGCAAACAGG